CAGUAGCCGCGGUAAUACGAAGGGUGCAAGCGUUAAUCGGAAUUACUGGGCGUAAAGCGUGCGUAGGCGGUUUGUUAAGUCUGUUGUGAAAUCCCCGGGCUCAACCUGGGAAUGGCAAUGGAUACUGGCAAGCUAGAGUGUGUCAGAGGAUGGUGGAAUUCCCGGUGUAGCGGUGAAAUGCGUAGAGGUCGGGAGGAACAUCAGUGGCGAAGGCGACUAUCUGGGCCAACACUGACGCUGAGGCACGAAAGCGUGGGGAGCAAACAGGAUUAGAUACCCGCGUAGUCCCUGUCUCUUAUAC
This 301-nucleotide ribosomal RNA is filed under the name uncultured bacterium. Its description in RNAcentral is "partial 16S ribosomal RNA". It matches the Rfam family "Bacterial small subunit ribosomal RNA", at positions 509 to 807 of the family's 1533-position model. The record is from RNAcentral.